GAUGAACGCUGGCGGCGUGCCUAUUACAUGCAAGUCGAGCGAAUGGAUUAAGAGAUUGCUCUUAUGAAGUUAGCGGCGGACGGGUGAGUAACACGUGGGUAACCUGCCCAUAAGACUGGGAUAACGCCGGGAAACCGGGUCUAAUACCGGAUAACAUUUUGAGCUGCAUGGUUCGAAAUUGAAAGGCGGCUUCGGCUGUCACUUAUGGAGGGACCCGCGUCGCCUUAGCUAGUUGGUGAGGUAACGGCUCACCAAGGCAACGAUGCGUAGCCGACCUGAGAGGGUGAUCGGCCACACUGGGACUGAGACACGGCCCAGACUCCUACGGGAGGCAGCAGUAGGGAAUCUUCCGCAAUGGACGAAAGUCUGACGGAGCAACGCCGCGUGAGUGAUGAAGGCUUUCGGGUCGUAAAACUCUGUUGUUAGGGAAGAACAAGUGCUAGUUGAAUAAGCUGGCACCUUGACGGUACCUAACCAGAAAGCCACGGCUAACUACGUGCCAGCCGCCGCGGUAA
This 515-nucleotide ribosomal RNA is filed under the name uncultured bacterium. Its description in RNAcentral is "partial 16S ribosomal RNA". It matches the Rfam family "Bacterial small subunit ribosomal RNA", at positions 28 to 523 of the family's 1533-position model. The record is from RNAcentral.